GCCCCAAUAGCUUCGUGAGGAUUUUCCGACAUUGGAAGCGGUGGGGAUCGUCUAGAGAUGGAAUUACGGGAGUAGCGUAAAGGGAGUUUAGGAGCUAAAUCAACACUUAAUGAGCAAUAAUUGCCAUUAAUAAGGCAAUAUUCUGAGAUUAUUCGAAGAGAAUACAUAAGAAUUAUGGAAAUAAAGAGCAAUCAAGGAAACCCAAAAGAGGAAACAAAGCCUUGAGUAGAGCUGGGAUUAGUGAAGAGAGGAAAUAUCGGAACCACAAAGGAAAGAUUAGA
RNAcentral lists this long non-coding RNA (281 nucleotides) under Brassica napus (rape). RNAcentral's name for it is "long non-coding RNA (BNAP_LNC025712)". Lineage: Eukaryota; Viridiplantae; Streptophyta; Magnoliopsida; Brassicales; Brassicaceae. The record is from RNAcentral.